UACGUAGGGGGCAAGCGUUGUCCGGAUUUAUUGGGCGUAAAGAGCGUGUAGGCGGCCAGACAGGUCCGUUGUGAAAACUCGAGGCUCAACCUCGAGACGCCGAUGGAAACCGUCUGGCUAGAGUCCGGAAGAGGAGAGUGGAGUUCCUGGUGUAGCGGUGAAAUGCGCAGAUAUCAGGAAGAACACCCGUGGCUAAGGCGGCUCUCUAGUACGGUACUGACGCUGAGACGCGAAAGCGUGGGGAGCGAACAGG
This 253-nucleotide ribosomal RNA is filed under the name uncultured bacterium. Its description in RNAcentral is "partial 16S ribosomal RNA". It matches the Rfam family "Bacterial small subunit ribosomal RNA", at positions 524 to 776 of the family's 1533-position model. The record is from RNAcentral.